Molecule: ribosomal RNA, 418 nt
Filed under: Turritella maculata
Lineage: Eukaryota; Metazoa; Mollusca; Gastropoda; Turritellidae
Description: partial small subunit ribosomal RNA
Rfam family: Bacterial small subunit ribosomal RNA
Source: RNAcentral
AAACUGGGAUUAGAUACCCCACUAUUUUUAGACAAAAAUAGGUCGCACUCCUACCAGAGUAUUACGAACUAUUAGUUUAAAACUCAAAGAACUUGGCGGUGCCUAAGACCCCUCAGGGGAACCUGUUUCAUAAUCGACAAUCCACGCUAAACCUUACCUUUUUUUGACAUACAGCAUGUAUACCGUCGUCGUCAGGUAACUUUUUAAAAUACAGAAGUUAACAAAAGAGAACAUUAUCUCUUACGUCAGAUCAAGGUGCAGCCAAUAAAAAGGAGAGAAUGGGUUACAAUUAUUAUUUAUAAUCACGAAAAAUUAAAUGAAAUUUUUUUAUGAAGGAGGACUUGAAAGUAAAAUAAAAACUAUAUAAACUAUUUGAAUCAACUGGCUCUAAGGCGUGCACACACCGCCCGUCACCCCC